This 226-nucleotide ribosomal RNA is filed under the name uncultured bacterium. RNAcentral's name for it is "partial 16S ribosomal RNA". It matches the Rfam family "Bacterial small subunit ribosomal RNA", at positions 28 to 253 of the family's 1533-position model. The record is from RNAcentral.
GACGAACGCUGGCGGCGUGCUCAACAACAUGCAAGUCGAGCGGUAAGGGCUCCUUCGGGAGUACACGAGCGGCGAACGGGUGAGUAACACGUGAGCAAUCUGCCCUUCACUUUGGGAUAACUCCGGGAAACCGGUGCUAAUACCGAAUACGACCACCGUAGGCAUCUUCUGGUGGUGGAAAGUUCCGGCGGUGAAGGAUGAGCUCGCGGCCUAUCAGCUUGUUGGU